RNAcentral lists this long non-coding RNA (253 nucleotides) under Lathyrus oleraceus (garden pea). RNAcentral's name for it is "Pisum sativum (pea) long non-coding RNA (PSAT_LNC034033)". Lineage: Eukaryota; Viridiplantae; Streptophyta; Magnoliopsida; Fabales; Fabaceae. The record is from RNAcentral.
AAUGAUGCAAACUUUGAGUCUAAGUUGAAUUUAUUGAAAAUAUAUACAACUUGGGUGUUGGAGAGUUUUUCAUUUGAAGAUUGUAUCAUGAGGACAAAGGGGUUUGAUCAAGCUUACUUUUGGUUAACUUUUUCAAAGUGAUUCGAACAUGUUUUACACUUGAACUUUCCAAGCCAGUUUUGAUCAAUUUUCACAUGUCAAAUGUUUUUUUCCCAACAUUACUUUUAUUCCUUACCUCAUUUCUUGAUUUAUU